AGAAUCAACGCUGGCGGCGUGCCUAACACAUGCAAGUCGCACGAGAAAGGGGAGGCAAUCCCUGAGUACAGUGGCGCACGGGUGAGUAACACGUGAAUAAGUCUACCUCCGAGUGGGGAAUAACUGAGAGAAAUCUUAGCUAAUACCGCAUAAUACCCACGGGUCAAAGGCAGCAAUGCGCUUGGAGAGGAGUUCGCGGCAGAUUAGUUAGUUGGCGGGUAAUGGCCCACCAAGACGAUGAUCUGUA
RNAcentral lists this ribosomal RNA (247 nucleotides) under uncultured bacterium. RNAcentral describes it as "partial small subunit ribosomal RNA". It matches the Rfam family "Bacterial small subunit ribosomal RNA", at positions 26 to 285 of the family's 1533-position model. The record is from RNAcentral.